This 484-nucleotide ribosomal RNA is filed under the name uncultured bacterium. RNAcentral describes it as "partial 16S ribosomal RNA". It matches the Rfam family "Bacterial small subunit ribosomal RNA", at positions 30 to 507 of the family's 1533-position model. The record is from RNAcentral.
AUUGAACGCUGGCGGCAGGCCUAACACAUGCAAGUCGAGCGGAUGAAGGGAGCUUGCUCCUGGAUUCAGCGGCGGACGGGUGAGUAAUGCCUAGGAAUCUGCCUGGUAGUGGGGGAUAACGUCCGGAAACGGGCGCUAAUACCGCAUACGUCCUGAGGGAGAAAGUGGGGGAUCUUCGGACCUCACGCUGUCAGAUGAGCCUAGGUCGGAUUAGCUAGUUGGUGGGGUAAAGGCCUACCAAGGCGACGAUCCGUAACUGGUCUGAGAGGAUGAUCAGUCACACUGGAACUGAGACACGGUCCAGACUCCUACGGGAGGCAGCAGUGGGGAAUAUUGGGCAAUGGGCGAAAGCCUGAUCCAGCCAUGCCGCGUGUGUGAAGAAGGUCUUCGGAUUGUAAAGCACUUUAAGUUGGGAGGAAGGGCAGUAAGUUAAUACCUUGCUGUUUUGACGUUACCAACAGAAUAAGCACCGGCUAACUUCGUG